This 492-nucleotide ribosomal RNA is filed under the name uncultured bacterium. RNAcentral describes it as "partial 16S ribosomal RNA". It matches the Rfam family "Bacterial small subunit ribosomal RNA", at positions 29 to 507 of the family's 1533-position model. The record is from RNAcentral.
AGUGAACGCUGGCGGUAGGCCUAACACAUGCAAGUCGAACGGCAGCACAGUAAGAGCUUGCUCUUACGGGUGGCGAGUGGCGGACGGGUGAGGAAUACAUCGGAAUCUACUUUUUCGUGGGGGAUAACGUAGGGAAACUUACGCUAAUACCGCAUACGACCUACGGGUGAAAGCAGGGGAUCUUCGGACCUUGCGCGAUUGAAUGAGCCGAUGUCGGAUUAGCUAGUUGGCGGGGUAAAGGCCCACCAAGGCGACGAUCCGGUGCUGGUCUGAGAGGAUGUUCAGCCACCCUGGUACUGAGACAGCGUCCCGACUUCCACCGGAUGCAGCAGUGGGGAAUAUUGGACCAUGGGCGGCAGCCUGGUCCAGCCAUACCGCGUGGGUGAAGAAGGCCUUCGGGUUGUAAAGCCCUUUUGUUGGGAAAGAAAAGCAGCAGGUUAAUACCCCGCUGUUCUGACGGUACCCAAAGAAUAAGCACCGGCUAACUUCGUG